RNAcentral lists this long non-coding RNA (2025 nucleotides) under Bemisia tabaci. Its description in RNAcentral is "lncRNA ENSSSA3NGG005561". Lineage: Eukaryota; Metazoa; Arthropoda; Insecta; Hemiptera; Aleyrodidae. The record is from RNAcentral.
AUGAAACUUGUGAAUGCAGAAGAGUUUGGGCCAGGGAAGCAGCCAUUGAAAGAAAUUGCAAAAGUUGGUAUCAUGCUGAACAGUGGUGUUUCGACUGAAGAGGUCGUUACACAAUUCACAACUGCAUCAUUCCCUGCUUUGCGAACACCCAUUGCGCAGGCAGCAAUGGUGUCCCUGGUGGAGAGGGAAGGACAUAGCUCCCUGAUAUCACAAGUUUUCGAGCAAGAAACAACAACAGAGCAAAUCAUGACUGGUGUUUUCCGUGCAUUCCUCUCUUUUAUCGAGCUUAAACAUACAACAGUGGAGGAAAUUUUGACACUUUUCUCUCCAUCUGAUUUCCAGUCGGAGCCCUGGCAACAAGAGCAAAUUGCUAUGGCAUCCACCGAGGACAGAAAAUUAGAGACUGUCAAAGUUACCACUCAAGAGAGUAAAAAAGUUUCUAGGAAAGGAACAAUAAUUGUUCGCCGUGAUGAAACUGAAGAAUCAGUUGAAGAAACAAAAACACAAGUAACCACUGAGAGUAAACGGAGGGAAUCAGAAGACAGGCUGACAAUAACGGACAUAACAGAGGACACAACAAUCAAAAAUGCCACCGAUGAUGAAAAAACUAUCGUCUCUCUCACAGAAACAGUUGAUGAAGUUGUUAAUGAGAAAGGUAAAACAAUAAUCAAGAAAAAACGAGGAGAAAAGAAGAAAAAAGUGGUGUUUAAAGAUGAAAUUGAAGAAGAAUUGAUAGAAGAGGUCAUUGACAAACAAAAGAAAACAGUAAUCAAAGGUGUGAAGCCUAAAGAAGCUAAGUUUGAUGAAGAAGUAACUGAGCCUAUCGAGCCUUUGAGUGUACCGUCCUUGAAAACCUUACCUAUAACAAGCUCCCAACAAGUGACUGAAUCAGUUCCUGGCCAGUCUGUUUCUCUAAUUGAUGAUGGACGAAUCUCUGCGGAAACAGCAAGUAUCGAGGUAUCUGUACAGAAAGUGGCAACUCAGCAAAUUGUCGAACAGCAAGAGAAAGAAUCCAAAACAAAAAUUUCCAGUGCCCCAGAGAAGAAAGUAGCCAAGCGGAAAAUGAGUCCAACGGAGCCUUAUUCAAUCUCGCAGCCCAACGUACUGGAUACGAUUGAGCCUCUUCAAAAAGUUGAACAAAUAGGGAAGAAAGCAUCGCCAGCAAUCACACCGAAGGAAGGUUUAAUAGUGGAUGAAGUACAUCCUGACUCGAGUUUCAGCAGUACGCCUGAGUUUGUGAAACCUGAAACUCUAGCGUCCCGUACCUUAACUGAGCUUCACGCGGCUAAAGUUGUAUCUGAGACCGAAGUGUCCAUUAAAGAAGGGACGGUCACGUGCACGAAAUCUCAAACUGCGCAUGCAAAAAAAUCAGUCAUCACACAAGAAGGUGUUGAGGUGACUGAAAUCCUUGAGGGAGAGUCGGAAGUAGUUCUUCCAUGUGAAGCCAAGUCGAAUGAGCUGAAGCCUAAUGUCGAGAUCCCAGCAGUUGAGUCUGUUGUCAUUAGUGAAGUCUUCCCAGAAAUGAAGCCCGAUAAUUACCAACCAGAUCUUAAAGUGGCCACGGAAGUUGCAUCGAAGUCAGUUGUUCCAGAGAAACAGCUAAUUGUUACAGAUACCAUUCAGUUACCAGAAAAAGAGUCCUCCUACACUCCAGCGAGAUUGCCUAUCUCCCAACAAGCAGCCGUGGAGGUAAUGCCCGAAGACUCCAUGAUAAUUUCUGAGGUCCGAGUGAAUGAAAGCGAAGAAAAUUUGACACACAGCAAAGGACCUGACUUGACUCAUGCUGUAGAAAAAUUAGUGCAACAAGAAAGCAUCCAAGUAAAGUCUGUUCAAGCUCAAGAUAAAGAAGAAUUGUUCGAGACUUUUGCUCCUGAAAAUCGACAAGCAGACGUACAACUGUCGGCUGUAGACUCACUGGUAAUGACAGAAACUCAGCCUGAAGAGCGUGAAACUACCUUGUCAGAGGAGGAAAAACCAACAAUGAAAAAGGUUGAAACGAAUGUCUGUUGUUUGGAAACUUCUUAA